UCGAAAAGAAGGGUUCUGUUACCUGUUAGCCGGAGUUAUCAGCUUAGAAAAUGGAAACGAAAUUAAGAAAGGGGUGGUUUAAUUCUCAGUUGGUCUGCAAUUAGACAUGAGAAGUCUGGUUCCCGGGGAAAAAAAUUCAAUGUAGGGUAUCCAUUGGAUACCAGGAGCAAAGAACUGGAUACAUUUGGGUUCUAAUUUAUCGGAUAAAAUCUUCGCUCUUCGCACGUGUAGCCUUAAAAACUUGGGAACGCUUCAUGCCUCAGCAAUUACAGCCUUUGG
RNAcentral lists this long non-coding RNA (279 nucleotides) under Carica papaya (papaya). RNAcentral describes it as "long non-coding RNA (CPAP_LNC015963)". The record is from RNAcentral. Lineage: Eukaryota; Viridiplantae; Streptophyta; Magnoliopsida; Brassicales; Caricaceae.